UGCUCCUUCUCAGGGUCGACGUCGAUGGAGUCCAGACGGACCUGAGCGGUGCUGCGAGGCUGCCGCUCGUUCUGCACGGCUGCAGAUGAGCCUCCUCCUCACGCUGCGCUUGAAGAAGCCGCUGCAGCCGUUGCAGGCGUAGAUGCCGUAAUGUUUCCCGCUGCUGGUGUCGCCGCACACUUUGCACACCAGCGCCGGACUCAGAGCUUUUCCUGGAGCUGGACUCUUGGCUGCAAGUCAAAAACAAAACCGCACAAAGCCGCCGGUCCGUUAUGGUGCCAUUCAUCCGCAGACUGGGUAUUGUUUCACACACAAGCCUACCAUCUGCACCAACAGAUAGAUAAAAAGUUUGUGUGUCAUCUGUCAUCGUUGACUUAAACACACAUAUUUUCUAUCAGACAUUUAAAAAUUCUUUCUGUUUUUUUGCAGUAAUCUUUCUCCAUGCUUCUCUGUGUCUUUAAUAAUUGUUUAAAUAUACAAUUUUCAUAAGUUAAUGUUUGAUGCAAAUGAAAGAGAGUUGAAUUUUUAUAAAAAGUUUGUCUUAAACACUUUA
Long non-coding RNA from Poecilia latipinna (sailfin molly), 553 nucleotides. RefSeq lists it as uncharacterized. The record is from RefSeq and is a predicted model, not a curated record. Lineage: Eukaryota; Metazoa; Chordata; Actinopteri; Cyprinodontiformes; Poeciliidae. The transcript has 2 exons.